UUGGCUUACACUUCCACCUCAGAGUCCA
RNAcentral lists this unclassified non-coding RNA (28 nucleotides) under Mus musculus (house mouse). Its description in RNAcentral is "oocyte_clustered_small_RNA10339". Lineage: Eukaryota; Metazoa; Chordata; Mammalia; Rodentia; Muridae. The record is from RNAcentral.